UGAGGAAUAUUGGUCAAUGGGGGCAACCCUGAACCAGCCAAGUCGCGUGAAGGAUGAAGGUCUUAUGGAUUGUAAACUUCUUUUACACGGGAAUAAAGCGGGGGACGCGUCCCUCUUUGCAUGUACCGUGUGAAUAAGGAUCGGCUAACUCCGUGCCAGCAGCCGCGGUAAUACGGAGGAUCCGAGCGUUAUCCGGAUUUAUUGGGUUUAAAGGGUGCGCAGGCGGGAUGUUAAGUCGGCGGUGAAAUUUUGCAGCUCAACUGUAAAAGUGCCUUCGAUACUGGCCUUCUUGAGUGUGGAUGAAGUAGGCGGAAUUUGUGGUGUAGCGGUGAAAUGCUUAGAUAUCACGAGGAACUCCGAUUGCGCAGGCAGCUUACUAAGCCACAACUGACGCUCAUGCACGAAGGCGUGGGGAUCAAACA
RNAcentral lists this ribosomal RNA (422 nucleotides) under uncultured bacterium. RNAcentral describes it as "bacterial SSU rRNA". It matches the Rfam family "Bacterial small subunit ribosomal RNA", at positions 355 to 774 of the family's 1533-position model. The record is from RNAcentral.